GUGAGAGUUGUUUGCUGUAAUUUUUUUCUUUGUUAAUCUGGAAAUUGGGAGAAAGAGAGAAAGAAGCCCCUUUGCUAGAUUUCCUUUGUGAAAUCUUGAAAGUUCUUCAAUUUGGUAUCUUUUUCUGGUAAUGCUAAUUGAAGAUUUGGGGAAUGGCUACUUUGGUACCUGGUGUUCUAUUGAAGCUUCUUCAGCAUAUGAACACAGAUGUGAAAGUUGCUGGUGAGCAUAGGUCAUCUCUGUUGCAAGUGGUCAGCAUUGUGCCUGCAUUAGCAGGUGGGGAGCUUUUUCCUAACCAAGGGUUCUACCUAAAGGUAUCAGAUU
RNAcentral lists this unclassified non-coding RNA (324 nucleotides) under Hevea brasiliensis (rubber tree). The record is from RNAcentral. Lineage: Eukaryota; Viridiplantae; Streptophyta; Magnoliopsida; Malpighiales; Euphorbiaceae.